This 630-nucleotide ribosomal RNA is filed under the name Triticum aestivum (bread wheat). Its description in RNAcentral is "partial small subunit ribosomal RNA". Lineage: Eukaryota; Viridiplantae; Streptophyta; Magnoliopsida; Poales; Poaceae. The record is from RNAcentral.
AUGACUACUGUGCUAUGCAACUUCCAUUCUUUGAAGCACUCCUCUGGUUUGAAGGAUAUAUACCUUCCUAGGAUCAAGUGCAUCCUAACUCACCUGCUACCAUAUAACUGGAAUUACCGAUGCAAGUCGAAGAAGGAUUGGCCGGUGCUGCUGGCUGGCGUCAAGUUCGAUCCCAUGGAUCAGGAGCUGAUCGAGCACCUUGAGGCCAAAGUGAGUGCUGACAGUGCGAGAUUUCAGUCUCUCAUCGAUUUGUUCAUACCAACCAUCAACAGCGAGCACGGCAUAUGCUACACCCAACCUGAGAAACUUCCAGGUAUCACACUGAGUGGCCUAAGGAAGCAUUUCUUCCAGCCCAAUUCCAGGGCGUUCAAAAGGGGCACGUGGACGCAUCGCAAGAUACAGUCGGAGUGUGGCAUGCACGCGAUGUGGCACAAGACCGGCAAUACCUUGCCAGUGAUGGUCAACGGCCGGCAGACGGGCAGCAAAAAAGGUUCUGGUGCUGCACACCAACAAGAACUUCGACUAGCAGAGGACCAACUGGGUGAUGCACCAGUACCACCUCGGGGACCUGGAGAAAGAGAAGGAGCGGGAGCUGGUCCUCUGCAAGAUUUUCUACGAGAUGGACACUAG